Molecule: unclassified non-coding RNA, 332 nt
Filed under: soil metagenome
Description: partial contains 5.8S ribosomal RNA, internal transcribed spacer 2, and large subunit ribosomal RNA
Rfam family: 5.8S ribosomal RNA (bases 1-120)
Source: RNAcentral
GAUGAAGAACGUAGCGAAAUGCGAUAAGUAAUGUGAAUUGCAGAAUUCAGUGAAUCAUCGAAUCUUUGAACGCACAUUGCGCCCGCUAGUAUUCUGGCGGGCAUGCCUGUCCGAGCGUCAUUUCAACCAUCAAGCCCUGUUUAGGCUUGUGUUGGGGCCCUGCGGCUGCCGCAGCCCCCUAAAUGCAGUGGCGGGCUCGUUGUCACUCCGAGCGCAGUAGCGUAUCUCGCUCUGGGCGUGGCGGCGGGUGCUAGCCGUGAAACACCCACUAAGGUUGACCUCGGAUCAGGUAGGAAUACCCGCUGAACUUAAGCAUAUCAAUAAGCGGAGGA